AUGUACUCGUCGGAGACUCGUGUGUGGACCGAGCUCACCUCUGUUCAUCACCCCGAUAUCACCAAGUAUACCUAUAACCGAGGUUCGCCAAGCGUCCUUGUGGGUGAUGCACUCUACUUUGACUUGGAUGGCAUUAUCAAGUGCCAACUUGGUACACUUCGCUUGUCAAUGUUUGAGAGGCCGACCGAUGCCAAGGGGCAUGUCAUGACGGCGGAAGAUGGGGGGCUCGGAUUCGCUGCCGUGGUUGAUGUCACAAACCUGACCAUUUGGUCAAUGCAGACCGGACCAGAGGGAGCCAUGGGAUGGGCAAAACUCAGGGUAAUCGAUCUUACGACGCUGCUCCCUGACAGGGCCCUUUCGAUUCCAGCACCUGAAGAUGGAAUUAGUGGCAUCGCCGAAGGCACCCAAAUCAUUUUUGUGAGCUCAUGUGUUGGUACCUAUAUGGUCGAUCUCAAGUCAAGGCGAGUUAGGAAGCAAUGGAAGCAGCUUCUAUGGGCCAGGGGCAGUGAGCUGGUGCUUUAG
Molecule: ribosomal RNA, 522 nt
Filed under: Triticum aestivum (bread wheat)
Lineage: Eukaryota; Viridiplantae; Streptophyta; Magnoliopsida; Poales; Poaceae
Description: partial small subunit ribosomal RNA
Source: RNAcentral